This is a transfer RNA of 74 nucleotides. It matches the Rfam family "tRNA". From Rfam's summary of the family: Transfer RNA (tRNA) molecules are approximately 80 nucleotides in length. The record is from Rfam.
GACGCCAUAGCUCAGUUGGUUAGAGCGUUCGACUGUUAAUCGAGAGGUCACCGGUUCGACCCCGGUUGGUGUCG